AGAAUCAACGCUGGCGGCGUGCCUAACACAUGCAAGUCGAACGAGAAAGGGUAGCAAUACCUGAGUAAAGUGGCGCACGGGUGAGUAACACGUGACUAACCUACCCUGGAGUGGGGGAUAACUGAGGGAAACCUUAGCUAAUACCGCAUAACACCUACGGGUCAAAGGAGCAAUUCGCUUCAGGAGGGGGUCGCGGCCGAUUAGUUAGUUGGCGGGGUAAUGGCCCACCAAGACAGUGAUCGGUAUCCGGCCUGAGAGGGCGCACGGACACACUGGAACUGAAACACGGUCCAGACUCCUACGGGAGGCAGCAGUGGGGAAUUUUGCGCAAUGGGGAAACCCUGACGCAGCAACGCCGCGUGGAGGAUGAAGUACUUCGGUACGUAAACUCCUUUCGAUCGGGACGAUAAUGACGGUACCGGAAGAAGAAGCCCCGGCUAACUUCGUGCCAGCAGCCGC
RNAcentral lists this ribosomal RNA (459 nucleotides) under uncultured bacterium. RNAcentral's name for it is "SSU rRNA". It matches the Rfam family "Bacterial small subunit ribosomal RNA", at positions 26 to 518 of the family's 1533-position model. The record is from RNAcentral.